GAUGAACGCUGGCGGCGUGCCUAAUACAUGCAAGUCGAGCGAACGGACGAGAAGCUUGCUUCUCUGAUGUUAGCGGCGGACGGGUGAGUAACACGUGGAUAACCUACCUAUAAGACUGGGAUAACUUCGGGAAACCGGAGCUAAUACCGGAUAAUAUUUUGAACCGCAUGGUUCAAAAGUAAAAGACGGUCUUGCUGUCACUUAUAGAUGGAUCCGCGCUGCAUUAGCUAGUUGGUAAGGUAACGGCUUACCAAGGCAACGAUGCAUAGCCGACCUGAGAGGGUGAUCGUCCACACGGGGACUGGGACGCGGUCCAGACUCCUACGAGAGGCAGCAGAAGGGAAUCUUCCGCAAUGAGCGAAUGCCUAACGGAGCAACGCCGCGUGAGAGAUGAAGGUCUUCGGUUCGUAAAACUCUGUUAUUAGGGAAGAACAUAUGUGUAAGUAACUGUGCACAUCUUGACGGUACCUAAUCAGAAAGCCACGGCUAACUACGUG
This 497-nucleotide ribosomal RNA is filed under the name uncultured bacterium. RNAcentral describes it as "partial 16S ribosomal RNA". It matches the Rfam family "Bacterial small subunit ribosomal RNA", at positions 28 to 507 of the family's 1533-position model. The record is from RNAcentral.